RNAcentral lists this small RNA (525 nucleotides) under Histoplasma ohiense. Its description in RNAcentral is "hypothetical lncRNA". The record is from RNAcentral. Lineage: Eukaryota; Fungi; Ascomycota; Eurotiomycetes; Onygenales; Ajellomycetaceae.
CGGACACGAAAGCAAGCGAAUAAUACAACCGUGUCGAAAGUCACUAGGAAGAAGAAACGGGCCUCUGACUCUGAGAGCCGUCUGCCCAGGCAGCUGCGCGGAGCGUUAGAAAAACAGAACGUUGUCAAAGAUCCGAACGGAAACCCAAGGUCCACCACCAGGCUACGUCUUCGUUCCGAAGGGCGACGUCUAUUGUGGCGGACGUAAAGCUUGCGAAAACAGAAUUUUCUGCCACCCCCUGAAAAAUAAUAGCAAAACACUGCAAAAAUAACCAAAAUAUCCACAUAUCUCUAGAAUCAUUCAAAUAUCAUCCAAUUCAUCCAAAUACACACCUUUAUCAUCAAAUAUGCAUCUUUAUCAUCAAAUACACAUCUUUAUCAUCAAAUACAUCAAUAUGCUCUGCAACACCCACUGUUCUACUGUCUUGCAAGCUUGUAAAGAGACUUCAACUACUCUUCACCUUCAUCUGCUCAAAUCAUCUGUUCUGAAUGUUUCAGAUAAUGAUGAGAAUCCAAUUGAUGAUGA